GGUUGAUCCUGCCAGUAGUCAUAUGCUUGUCUCAAAGAUUAAGCCAUGCAAGUCUAAGUACGNCUCUCGUAUAGUGAAACUGCGAAUGGCUCAUUACAUCGGUCAUAAUUUCCUGGACGAGUUAUUCCUACUUGGAUAACUGUGCCAAUUGUAGAGCUAAUACAUGCCACGAACUGUCUCUCCGGAGACGGUGCUUUUAUUAGAUCAAACGCCGAUGGCACCAGUGCCUCUGUUGGCGAAUCGUGAUAACUCUAGCAUAUCGCACGGUUUCACACCGGCGAAGCGUCCUCCAAGUGACUGCCUUAUCAGCUGUCGAUGGUAGUGUAUUGGACUACCAUGGCNNUNACGGGUAACGGGGAAUUNGGGUUCGAUUCCGGAGAGGGAGCCUGAGAAACGGCUACCACAUCNAAGGAAGGCAGCAGGCACGCAAAUUACCCAUUCCCNANUCGGGGAGGUAGUGACGAAAAAUAACGAUACGUGGUACUCAUUCGAGAACCCGUAAUUGGAAUGAGUACAAUUUAAAUCCUUUAACGAGGAUCUAUUGGAGGGCAAGUCUGGUGCCAGCAGCCGCGGUAAUUCCAGCUCCAAUAGCGUAUAUUAAAGUUGUUGCAGUUAAAAAGCUCGUAGUUGGAUCUUGGAUNCGGGUAUCGCGGUCUGAGCAGUGUCUCUGUACUGCGAUCGCCCNGUCUGUAUUNUCGGNAGCNCGGCCGUGNCCUUGACUGGGUGCGGUNCGGGUGCCGNAGCGUUUACUUUGAAAAAAUUAGAGUGUUCAAAGCAGACACGUUCGUCCGCAUAAUUUUGCAUGGAAUAAUGGAAUANGAGUUGGACUUAUUUUUGUUGGUGUUACGAGUCUAACUAAUGAUUAACAGGGAUAGACGGGGGCAUCGGUACCUCGUAGGGAGAGGUGAAAUUCUUUGAUCUACGGGAGACCAACUACUGCGAAAGCAUUUGCCAAGAAUGUUUUCAUUAAUCAGGAACGAAAGUCGGAGGUUCGAAGGCGAUCAGAUACCGCCCUAGUUCCGACCAUAAACGAUGUCAACUAGCGAUCUGCCGGCGUUAAUUAUAAGACUCGGCAGGAAGCUUCCGGGAAACCAAAGUNNNNNNNAUUCCGGGGAUAGUAUGGUUGCAAUAUNGAAAUUUAAAGGAAUUGACGGAAGGGCACCACCAGGAGUGGAGCCUGCGGCUUAAUUUGACUCAACACGGGAAACCUCACCAGGCCCAGACACGGGAAGGAUUGACAGAUUGAGAGCUCUUUCUUGAUUUCGUGGGUGGUGGUGCAUGGCCGUUCUUAGUUGGUGGAGCGAUUUGUCUGGUUAAUUCCGAUAACGAACGAGACUCAGUCCUACUAUUUAGA
RNAcentral lists this ribosomal RNA (1354 nucleotides) under Facetotecta sp. Its description in RNAcentral is "SSU rRNA". It matches the Rfam family "Eukaryotic small subunit ribosomal RNA", at positions 6 to 1359 of the family's 1831-position model. Lineage: Eukaryota; Metazoa; Arthropoda; Thecostraca. The record is from RNAcentral.